UGCAGACCCCACCUUCCGUCUCCUUCCUGGCGACGGAUUCCACCUCCCGCCUCCGCCCCGGGUCGAACUCCGCGGGCCGCCUAUACCCUACCCCUGGCCAACACGAAGCCGGCUAUGAGUAUCCCAAGCUCCCCUCGUCCGAAACCCCACAAGAUCCCUCGAAUCGAGCCACCCGACCGCGCUGUCCCGCCCGUCCCGGUGACUCCGGCGACGAAUUCCUUCGGCAAACGGUGAGAGACGAAGCACCUCGUGGACUAGUUCCCCAGGAAGGACGACACGGACGGACGACAUUCCAAGACGCCGCCCCCGUAACCAUCUAUUCCGUCGAGCUCCGCUGCCUAGCCACGCGAUUGCCUUUUGUCCAAAUACCACAGAAGUACACAUUUAUAAGUUUUUCGCUGACAAGUGUUCUUUGAAAGCAUGAUCAAGUAGUGUCUGGAAUAAACUGGAGUAGAUUUUCCAACAAAACUGUGACGGUUUCACAUGAUAUAAAUAUGUCUGGAUACAAGAAGGACAAGAUUGGGGAGCUACGCUUCUUAUUUUCAAGCUAAAUCGUGCUUUAUGUGUCCAAGUGGAGCCCAAAAGAAAAUAAGUUUGCUGUGGGAAGUGGUGCUAAGUCUGCAUGCAUUUGCUACUACGAACAAGAGAACAACUGGAUUCAAUUCGGUACAACAGCAUCACCGAUGCAGACGACAUGGGGUUCAUCGUGCCAGGCACCUCGGUGUUGCUUCCAUGCGACGGCGGCAGCAGCUACAGAAACAACCACGAUGAACCCCUCUCCUUGCCUCCAGUGCUUGCUCUCAGCUCGUCGUGGCCAUCCUGCCAAGGCUAUGUCUGUUGUUCAUACAACAUGGAGGGUCGGUAAGGACGCCGUGGAUGCUGCAAGUUUGCUUGUCCCACAAACCCAGAGGCUGGGAUGCACACACCCGAAGGUCACCCUCAUCACCUCCUUCCCUUGCCCUGCUCCCCAAUUCGACGGCAAGGUCGCAGAGUAGCAGCACCCACGACCACCCUCCUCGGUCCUCCGCAUAUCUCAUACAUGAUUUAUGCUUUACGUGGUAUUGUAUGAUGUGCUAUGGAAGUAUAGGAAUUUGUUUGCAGCCCCCUUCAGAUCUAGAUAUUGAAUGAGUAUCUGGUAUGAGGAAAUGGAGGUGACGUUGAUCCCUAGAGGCCUAAUGUAUUUUUCAUUUCCUGCUUCGUACUUUGGAGAUGUACCCGCUUAAGGCCAAGGACCUCUUCAUGACAUAAGUAGACCAUGUCGAUGCACUAUGAGUAAAACAAUGAAUCGUCAGAGUUAUGAGAUGUAAUUCUGUGAAGCCCCUUUUUUAUGUGAGAAAUGCAACGUCUGAUUUUGGAAGCUUAAACCUCAUAUGGAAGGGUGAUUGUGAUUUCCAAAUGUUCUGAUUUUUGUCAUGGGAAAUGACAUGGGCUGAAUUUGGCAGCUGUUUUAAGGAAGGAGGGCAAUAGUGUUUCCAUAGUCUUUAUGAUUUAGCCUUAGCUUUACACCUUUGUAAUUUAACUGUCGAAGGUAAAACUAUGAUGGAAAUUAUUUUGAGUGUACUGGGAUUUAUGUUUCUCUCCUUGCCAAAAAACUGCAUAAGUGACAUGACGUAUAUGGUCUGGACAAAUGGUUCUGAUACUCCUAGGGAGGCUAUAGCCUUAUAUUUCUGUAUUGUGUUUUUGUUCAAUAGAAAAUAUGGUUUCAUGUGUA
Molecule: long non-coding RNA, 1711 nt
Organism: Triticum aestivum (bread wheat)
Lineage: Eukaryota; Viridiplantae; Streptophyta; Magnoliopsida; Poales; Poaceae
Exons: 10
Source: RefSeq, a predicted model, not a curated record